AAUCAACGCUGGCGGCGUGCCUAACACAUGCAAGUCGAACGCGAAAGUCCCGCAAGGGAUGAGUAGAGUGGCAAACGGGUGAGUAACACGUGGGUGACCUGCCUUCGAGCGGGGGAUAACGUCCCGAAAGGGACGCUAAUACCGCAUGACAUCCUGCCUUUGAAGAGGUGGCGAUCAAAGCCGGGGAUUCGCAAGAACCUGGCACUCGAUGAGGGGCCCGCGUCGAUUAGCUAGUUGGUGGGGUAAUGGCUCACCAAGGCAACGAUCAGUAUCCGGCCUGAGAGGGCGGACGGACACACUGGGACUGAGACACGGCCCAGACUCCUACGGGAGGCAGCAGUGGGGAAUUGUUCGCAAUGGGCGCAAGCCUGACGACGCAACGCCGCGUGGAGGACGAAGACC
Molecule: ribosomal RNA, 402 nt
Filed under: uncultured bacterium
Lineage: Bacteria
Description: bacterial SSU rRNA
Rfam family: Bacterial small subunit ribosomal RNA
Source: RNAcentral